AUCAUGGACCAUGAAGAGGCAAGGAGAAAGAAUGUUGGUGGGAAAGUUCUUGGUUUCUUCUACUGAGUGAUGAUGAGUUGAGUUUCUGGGUUAUAAAGGGAUGAUGAGUUGAGUUUCUGGUUAUAACGAGGUUUUGGCCCUGUAAUUUGCAAGUUGUGGUUUUUUUACCAUAGGAUUCCUGUAAUGCCUUCAUGUUUGGUUUUCUAGGGCACCCAUUUGCAUCAAAAUUAUAACGAGUUUUUUGUGGUUCGCGUUU
Molecule: long non-coding RNA, 256 nt
Filed under: Linum usitatissimum (flax)
Lineage: Eukaryota; Viridiplantae; Streptophyta; Magnoliopsida; Malpighiales; Linaceae
Description: long non-coding RNA (LUSI_LNC007976)
Source: RNAcentral